AAGGGAGGGGAGUCGAGGCGGAUCCAGAGGUUCUUUCCCUUGCGGUGGACGGAGACGAUGGACUUGCCGGGGAGGGAGGACUCGAAGUCGGCGCGGGAGACGCCAUCGAUGACCUUGGUGUCGUCGGCCGCCGUGCAUUUGAGGAUGCGCUUGCCGAUGCAGUGGUCCUCUAGAGCGCGGCGGGCGGCUUCGACUUCCGGUAGCUCCGGCAUCGUAGCCGGUGAGG
Molecule: unclassified non-coding RNA, 226 nt
Filed under: Hevea brasiliensis (rubber tree)
Lineage: Eukaryota; Viridiplantae; Streptophyta; Magnoliopsida; Malpighiales; Euphorbiaceae
Source: RNAcentral